Molecule: non-coding RNA, 1197 nt
Organism: Pelobates cultripes (western spadefoot toad)
Lineage: Eukaryota; Metazoa; Chordata; Amphibia; Anura; Pelobatidae
Source: the annotation of a GenBank genome assembly
CAAAAUAAAAAGUUAUUUAAAACGGUGAACGACUAGUGAACUAAUAUGUUCCACAUGUCCACUAGGUGUGACAGGAGAUACUUGACGUGUAGUGGCUGGGAAUACAACAUUGUGGCAGGUUAGGCGGAAAAAAAAAUACAGUAAUGUCGAAGCUAUAAAAGGCUUUAGCUCCUCUGGUAAACUUAUAAGAAUGUACAAUCAGAGGAGUAUUGCGAGGAGGGGGUGGGGGAAAUGUGCCUGUGAGAUAACAAGGCAGGUCAUGGGAAGUGUGAGCUUAAAAGAGUAGCCCUAGGGCCUCAUAUAUCAAAGCUAAAGAUAUAAAAUACAAUAACGCAAGAGUUACAACAUAAAACCAUAAUUAAGUUAAGAAACAGUAAAUUAGAUCAGAACUCAGUCAAGAUACUGAUCUUUUCAGUGAGCCGCUGUUACGAACUGGCAAACGCUCACAGGAUUCCAUAUUGUUGUGGUAGUUGGAAGUGGAGAAUUAUGUGGCUCGGUGACCAGCGAGGACAGCCCAAGCUCCUGCAACAUCAGUUGACUUUCAUCUUGACUCUUGGUUUGGCAGAGUUGACACGAUUUUUAUGAAUAUUCUACCUUUAGUUUGAUAUUUAUUCCAAACCCAAGAUCCCUUGUUUCUUCUUUACAAGCCUGUCAUUUGCUACAUCUUUUAUACGGAAAGGGAAGGCCCCUAAAUUAGCUUAUCAGUAUUUGAUAUGACCUAGGGUUAAGAGUGUAUUAAAUUUGAAUCCAGGAUCCAAAAUAAGUUUAGAUUUAAAGGGACACUCCAGUGCCAGGAAAACAAAUAGUUUUCCUGGCACUGCAGGUACCCUCUCCUUCCUACCCCAUGUUGCUGAAGGGGUUAGAACCACUUCAGUGACUUAUCUGAGACCAGCCCCGAUGUCCCUCGGCGCUGGUAUAGGGUCCGCCCACACUCCUCCCUUGCCGACAUCAUCCGGCGGGGGAGACCUAAAGCCGGAGCAGGACGGGGACACUAGAACAAUAUAGGGGUGCUCAAGUAGGUGUGACGGAUCACCUAAAUAUAUAAUGAAAAAAUGAACGCUUGGCACUCUCCUUACAAUAAAUAUAAAAGUAUCUUGCCUGGGUGUUGUAUCCUUGGCGCCAAAUCACGUUACGUCACAGGUGUCUCCCAUCCACUUCCGGGUUGUAACGGGCAGAGACACUCCACUCCACUGUAUG